GGUGCAAUCCUGGCUCACUGCAACCUCUGCCUCCCAGGUUCAAGUGAUUCUCCUGCCUCAGCUUCCCAAGUAGCUGGGACUACAGGCGUGUGCCACCACGACCAGAGGCCAGGUGCAGUGCAUGUAAUCCCAGCACUUUGGGAGACUGAGAUGGGAAGAUCGCUUGAGGCCAGGAGUGCAAGACCAGCCUGGGCAACACAGCAAGACCUUGAUUCUACUAAAAAAAAAAAAGGAUCCUUCAACUUCAACAAUAAUAACACAAGGGAAGUGAAGAAAAACACUUUCUAAGGAAAUCUCUCUCUGAGCUACCAUCCUGCUAGGGAGAGCCUGAAAGCAGAAUGCUGACUUGACUAGCUCUGGUCAAUGAAAGAAAUCACCAGUGGAAAGGCUACCAGGGGGCUUUCUCAAAAGAGAGGGACAGUAAACUGCAAGAUGAACAACUCAAUGCCAUCCAGGUCUGGAUGAGAAAGAACAGUCGAGAGACUGAGUUUCAGGAGUGGAAACACUCAAAGCAUCAUCUUCCACUUUCUUCUCCGGCUGCUAGGAAGAAGGGAAAAACACAGACCUUCUGAGGACCUGCGGAGCAAACCACUGGCUUCAGAAAAGCAAACAGGGACUUCCCUCUGCGCAGCAGGAAGCAGUUAGCCUAGUCGGAGGCUUGACUGAAGAAACAAAUGAGGGAAGGCAGAAGUUGAGACGCAGCCAGUAGAGGAAACUCCGGGAGAGGCAGGCAGCGUCACUUGAAGAAAAGCUCUAUUGUGAUGGGAACAAUCACAGGAACUAAGCGGCAACAAAAUGGCUCCCCACCCCCUCUGCAAAUCCCAACUCCAUGCAAGCACUCUCCCUUCCCUCAUUUUCUUUUCUUUUUUUUUGAGAUGGAGUCUCGCUCUGUUGCCCAGGCUGGAGUGCAGUAGCGCGAUCUCGGCUCACUGCAACCUCCACCUUCUGGUUUCAAGCAAUUCUCCUGCCUCAGCCUCCCCAGUAGCUGGGACUACAGGCGUGUGCCACCACGCCUGGCUAAUUUUUUUUUUUAAUUUUUAGUAGAGACAGAGUUUCACCAUGUUGGCCAGGCUGGUCUCGAACUCCUGGCCUCAAGUGAUCCACCUGCCUCAGCCUCCCAAAGUGGUGGGAUUACAGGUGUAAGCGACCACGCCCGGCCUUUUAAAAUCGACUUGAGUCUCAUCUCCUGAAAUGCAAAAUGCAUUGGGCCUGUCUCUUACUUCUGCAUGUCUCAUAAUGCUUAGCACAGCACAAGCCCCGAGAGCGCAUCAUACACCCUGGGGUGGGGAGCUCCUGGCAGGGCUGGAUCCACUCACCAUUCCUGCCAUCCAUUGGCACUUGGCUCAGCACAGUUAGGCCAACAAGGACAUAAUAGACAAGUCCAAAACAGUACUGCACGACGUGAAUCAUGACAUUGGAGAAGACACUGACGUAGAGGCACUCGAAGAGUCUUCGUAAGCUGUGCAGCCACAGAAAUACUAGCACUAAGAAUGCAGACAGUGCCAGCUCCCCUCCUACAAUUCAGAAGGCAACAGGGUCAGCAUUUCUCUUCUGGGAUUAAUCCAAAGUUUUGUUUUUCUGUACUGUUAAGCAAAGUAUUAAAUCCCAUCUAACAUC
RNAcentral lists this long non-coding RNA (1617 nucleotides) under Homo sapiens (human). RNAcentral's name for it is "SRD5A3 antisense RNA 1". The record is from RNAcentral. Lineage: Eukaryota; Metazoa; Chordata; Mammalia; Primates; Hominidae.